UACGUAGGUGGCGAGCGUUGUCCGGAUUUACUGGGCGUAAAGGGAGCGUAGGCGGACUUUUAAGUGAGAUGUGAAAUACUCGGGCUCAACUUGAGUGCUGCAUUUCAAACUGGAAGUUUAGAGUGCAGGAGAGGAGAAUGGAAUUCCUAGUGUAGCGGUGAAAUGCGUAGAGAUUAGGAAGAACACCAGUGGCGAAGGCGAUUCUCUGGACUGUAACUGACGCUGAGGCUCGAAAGCGUGGGGAGCAAACAGG
Molecule: ribosomal RNA, 253 nt
Filed under: uncultured bacterium
Lineage: Bacteria
Description: partial 16S ribosomal RNA
Rfam family: Bacterial small subunit ribosomal RNA
Source: RNAcentral